Long non-coding RNA from Nycticebus coucang (slow loris), 2301 nucleotides. RefSeq lists it as uncharacterized. The transcript is spliced from 4 exons. NCBI's taxonomy places the organism in Eukaryota, Metazoa, Chordata, Mammalia, Primates, Lorisidae. The record is from RefSeq and is a predicted model, not a curated record.
CAAGAGAAAGCUCUUCAUGGGGUUUUGUUCCGGAGGCAGAACGUUGAGGAAAGGCAAGCUGGGGAGAAGAACGUGGCUGAUCAGGGGAGAAGGGAGCUCUAAAAAGAGUCCUGAGAAGAGGCAGGCAUGAGCAGGGAGGGGGGGUGGCAGGGAGAAGAGCGCUGGGCCAGGAAGCCCCAGGCUGGGCUCCAGGGACAGAGGUGCGAGGUGAGAGGCACAGAGUAUUGGGUGCAGGGUGCAGCCCAGCUGCCAGGACCAAUCCCUGCUGUUCCUGGCCAGGCAACCUCAGGUAAGUUGCGUCACCUCUCUGGGUCUGCUCCAGCAGUUGCUGAAAUUUACAUGCCCACUACCCAGGGUGCUUGGAAGAAUGACUGUAGGCGAGGCCUUUACAACAGUGGCUGGCAGGCAGCAAGCACUUGGGGUAGGUCAGCUAUUUUUACCACUAUCACGGAACCUGUCCCUAAGAGCCCCAGGCAGGCUGCUUCCCUCGUCUACAACACAGGGACAGCAAUACCAGCCCCAGAAGAACACAGUAGCUGCUGCUGGCACCCCCACCUCGAGCAGACAGGAUUUCUCAUGGCCCUGGCGUGAGGCAGGCCUGAAAUGUAAGUGAUGAUCUGCCCAGUCUGGCCCUUUGGACCGGCUCCCCUUCCUCCGUUGCCGCUUCCUGGAUCACUGCCCAGGUAAUCUGCUGGGUGCCGAAAUCCACGACUCAGGGGCUGUGUCCUAGAGAACUAAGACACUGGAGACAAGAGCUGACCGAAGAUCAAGACCUCCCACUGUGGACUUGCUGUAGAGCCUCUGAAUUUGCCAACAUGAUUUACCAUGAAGAAAAUCCUCAGCUACUAAUGUUUAAAAACAGGGAGAUACCACAGGAGAAUCUGCGUCUUAGUUUCCCUUGAAGUCUGUACCGAGUGUGGCAGACCUGGCUCAGUAAGGCCUGGUCCCUCCCCACCUGAAGACAGGACACAGGAGUAGUGCCCACCACAGAGGAUGGAUCAGAUAGAGCAUGAAAGCACUCAGCCUAGGGCCCAGCACGCAGAAUGUCAAAAGCAACAAUCAAAGUGUCCUGAGGGGCCACCCCAGAGGACGAGCAGUGCCCAGCAAAUGGAGAAUCCAGGUUAAGGCUGAGGGGGAAAGUGAAGAUCUGUGGCUGAUCUCAGCUUUUCAGUAUGGCCUCUGAUCCAUUCUCUCUCUCUUCUCUCUCUACAGAACCCUGCUAGUUUCAUUUGUGGUUAGGAAACUAAUAAAAAUCUUGUCUAUGUGUUUUCAUUGGGUUUCUCUGGGCUGGGCCAGCCUACAAUUCAGAAACAAACUGGCCACCCACUACGACCAGCCACAACCCUGGAGCAAAGCCCAUCUUCCUCCUGUCCCUAUUUCCAGCACUCUAGUCCCCAGAUCCCCAAACCCCCAUCUGAUCCGGGCCUGGCCCCUGCCCCUCCCAAGUUGCUCUGAAAUUCUCCUUCUGUCAGUUUAAUUCCGUGAUCGAUGAGGAAGAGCAGGAGAAAUGGCCUGGCACAGCUGGCUUCCCCGUUAGCCCUAGCAGGGAUUCCUGGCCUCGUUGGCAACGGCUCAGUGAAAUGUUUGCGAAACGCAGAGAACACAAGUCAAUAACAAUUUAGCUGGAUUGGGAGCAAGUACCUUCCCCACACGGACAGCCACUCCCAGGGGAAGGGGAAGAGAAUGUGCAGGAUAUUGCCGAAGUGCUUAGAAAUAUUUCCAAAACACCACCCAGUGAGGCUUGGGGCUGGGAACUGGAGGGGGGGCGGACCGGGUGGCACCUGCUCCAGCUUCCUUCCAGGCCCCCCAGUCUCUUCAGGCAUCUCUGUUGGGAGAAACAUCCAGCUCCCUCAAUGUGGCCUCCACACAGCCAGCCACUGUCACCCUGGCUAGUAGCUGCCCUUGAGGAGCUGCCUAGACCAAAACAAUUCCUGAUCCCUGAUUUUCCUUCUCUGAAUUCUGCCUCCCCCAGCUGGGAGGGUAUGAGAAAAAGGUGUCUCUCAGUCAAUCUCAACCUCUCACCUGGUACCACUCACCAAUGUGACUAAGAGCUGGCGAAAGAACAAAACACACCAUCCUGAACAGAGAAAGUCAUUGGUCUUCAAGAGGGCAGGGAUAAUAUGCCUCCCGCACUUCCCCGUAUCCACCCAUGCUCUCAGCCAGGACCUUCUGUGGCAAUGUGGGACAGUCUCCCUCUGGCUGCCUCUUGCCUUGGCCACCACAGCCAAGUCUCAAGGAGGGCAGGAGAGGGACCAGAUAAAAGGAAUAAAAAUUGAAGCUUACAGAAAACCUCUCUCUUUG